UGAAACAAUUACAGAAGAAGAAAAAGAAAAGAAAAAAGAAAACGAGGAACCAUAAAACAUUAGUCAAAUUAUUGUAGAAUAUAUGAUCAUCAUGUGAAAUGAAUCAAAAUCAAAGAAAUUCUGUAUGAAGGUUAUGGAUUUGAAAAACUAGUUAUGUAGAAAUGCGAUACACUGGAUAGUGUGAAAAUGUCGUGAGUCUAUUAUUAUUAGAAAGAUAUGAAAGGCAGGGCGCGAGAAAGAGUGUCAGAGAAAUACAAUAACAAGUUAAUAAGGACAUUUUCCUCUGUCGGACGGAUUCUGUAAGGACGCUUUCCUCGGCGUGAAUGAUUUGCAUUUAUUUUUGUCAGGGUUGUCAGGCACUUCCAUAGCUCAGGCCAAUCAUCGCUUCUUAAAUCAUUUCAUUCUUGAACAUAAAUAUAAGGUUAAUAUGCCUGCAAGAUUGGUGAUGGCAUUGGAGAGAGCCAAAGCUGAAGACACUCCUUUGCCCGAGCCCGACAUGUCUUCGCCGAGAAGCAGCUUCGCGAACCUCUCCUUCAUCAACUCCAUAUCUAAGAAAGGAAAAAAAAAUAAAGCCUUUUUAACUAAAAUUUUUUCGGUUAACUUGGAUAGAAACACUCACAUAAUUGCCAUAUGAAAAUUGCGAAAGUCGGUUAUUGAUUUGAUGGAUGAAUAGAACCGAAUUGAUAAGACUACAACAAUCUAAAGGUUCGAGACCAAAGUGGAACUACGCGAAGCCUCAUCAUAUAUAACAAUUAAAAGGUCAUCACUAUGUCAUCGAAUUCGCCAUUCCUUACCCGAAGGUUGGCUGUUGCCGCCGCCCUCCUUGCCCAACCGCGACUUGGGCCCUCUCUCGGAGGACCGAGAGAGCGGCACGCCGACCUUCUGGGCCUCUGAAGACCUGCUCGGUCCCGUCGGUCCCUCGCUCCUCGAGCUAACCCUGUCGUCUGCGGCCUCCAACGAUCCCUGACUCUCCAGAAUCACGCUCCGAGACCUUCCCGCCAAGUGCUCGAUCACCAUUCCACAGCGAAAGAACCUCUCUAGACUGAAACCUCUCUUCAGGAACCGAACCAUCACAUGCGGCAAAUCGCCUCAGCUUAAGUCGAGAAACGCGGGGUGAGGCAUGUUGAAGCGAUUUUUGAUGUAGUGCAAGGAAAUGGAAAGGAAUGUAGUGUUGGUUGAGGAGGGGAAACCUCACCUCUCCAAUGAGGCAAGGGAGAGGGAGGGGAGGGGGAGGAGGGGGAAGUGCUUCUAAAUGAGAAAGAAACAAAACAAGGGCCCUUCUCUAUAGACCAAAAAAGCCAUGCAAAGGUGUGUGUUUAUUUUGGGAACUAAGACAAUUUUUUGGGGGUAAAUUGCACCACUAGUUCCUAGAUCAAAUUUCAUUCUAGUCCUCGAACUUUUAAUUUCAACAUUCGAAGACCCUGAACCUUUAAUAAGGUUAUAUUAAAUAGUUAUUAUCUGCACCUAGUUCAACUAAGUAUUCGUAUAUACAUCGUGAAUUUAUCUUUUCAUUUUUCGUCCUAUAUUUUCAAUUCAAAAGCCUGACUUUUUACGUACAGAAAAUAAUUACAUAAAUCAAUAAUUGAUAAGUACAUGGUACAUAAAUCUAUAGAUGCAUUAGAUAUAGGCAAUAACUUAUCCUCUAAUAGCAAAUAUAAACAAGGGCAAAAAUGAAACUCUUUAAAAAAGUUCAGGGACCACAAACUGCCGAAUUCGACAGUUUGAGGACCAAAAUGAAACUUGUUGUAUUUGUACUAUUGGGUGGUGGUAUUUGAGUGACUCUUCUCUCUCUCUCUAUUUUUUUUUUCUUUACACCUAAUUUAUUUUUUUUUUCCUAUUUUUUAUAUGGAAAAAUUCUAGGGGGGAAAUGUGGGGUGCAUGUUGAGAGAGGAGGAGAAAGAAAAGGUGAGCUUAUGGAAGGGGUGGCCUUUUUUUGGACCGUUUUCUGUUAUGAGACCAUUUGAGGUUGGUGAAAAGCCCGGGAAAUGUGGGAUGGCAAUAUUCCCCCAUUUCCACCUUCCUCCAUGUGCUUUUGCUUUAGCUUCUUGGUCAGAUCCGAUCCGCUGUCAUGUGUUAGUUUUGUCUGCUUCUUGGUCAGCCCCGAUCCGCUGUCAUGUAUUAGUUUUAUCUUUAUUCAAAGAUUAUUAUCUUUCUCUCUAUGGUUUAAAAAA
Ananas comosus (pineapple) is the source of this 2171-nucleotide long non-coding RNA. RefSeq lists it as uncharacterized. The record is from RefSeq and is a predicted model, not a curated record. The transcript has 2 exons. Lineage: Eukaryota; Viridiplantae; Streptophyta; Magnoliopsida; Poales; Bromeliaceae.